This 321-nucleotide long non-coding RNA is filed under the name Monodelphis domestica (gray short-tailed opossum). RNAcentral's name for it is "lncRNA (ENSMODG00000039675.1)". The record is from RNAcentral. Lineage: Eukaryota; Metazoa; Chordata; Mammalia; Didelphimorphia; Didelphidae.
AUGGGGCCCCCUGUCUCUGUUCUCUGUCACCCUGUCAUUCAGAAGUCUGUGUGCAGUGAGGAUCCAGAAAUAAAUGAUGGGAAUAAAACACACAUACAUAAAACCACCUUUCACGAAUACUGCAAGGUCUCUAAGCUUGGAAAAGGAAAAUGGUUGCUACCACCAGAACUUCCAGCACAAUAUUAAAUAAUACUGGUGAUAUUGGGCAUCUCUGCUUCACUCCUGAAAUUACUGGAAAAGCUUCUAACUUAUCGCAAUUGUAGAUGAUACUUGAUGAUGGUUUUAAAUAAAUACUACUUAUUAUCUUCUUUAUUUUGUAUA